RNAcentral lists this ribosomal RNA (1156 nucleotides) under Pectobacterium carotovorum subsp. carotovorum. RNAcentral's name for it is "bacterial SSU rRNA". It matches the Rfam family "Bacterial small subunit ribosomal RNA", at positions 56 to 1203 of the family's 1533-position model. Lineage: Bacteria; Pseudomonadati; Pseudomonadota; Gammaproteobacteria; Enterobacterales; Pectobacteriaceae. The record is from RNAcentral.
UGCAGUCGAGCGGUAGCACAAGGGAGCUUGCUCCCUGGGUGACGAGCGGCGGACGGGUGAGUAAUGUCUGGGAAACUGCCUGAUGGAGGGGGAUAACUACUGGAAACGGUAGCUAAUACCGCAUAACGUCUUCGGACCAAAGAGGGGGACCUUCGGGCCUCUUGCCAUCGGAUGUGCCCAGAUGGGAUUAGCUAGUAGGUGAGGUAAAGGCUCACCUAGGCGACGAUCCCUAGCUGGUCUGAGAGGAUGACCAGCCACACUGGAACUGAGACACGGUCCAGACUCCUACGGGAGGCAGCAGUGGGGAAUAUUGCACAAUGGGCGCAAGCCUGAUGCAGCCAUGCCGCGUGUGUGAAGAAGGCCUUCGGGUUGUAAAGCACUUUCAGCGGGGAGGAAGGCGAUAAGGUUAAUAACCUUGUCGAUUGACGUUACCCGCAGAAGAAGCACCGGCUAACUCCGUGCCAGCAGCCGCGGUAAUACGGAGGGUGCAAGCGUUAAUCGGAAUGACUGGGCGUAAAGCGCACGCAGGCGGUCUGUUAAGUUGGAUGUGAAAUCCCCGGGCUUAACCUGGGAACUGCAUUCAAAACUGACAGGCUAGAGUCUCGUAGAGGGGGGUAGAAUUCCAGGUGUAGCGGUGAAAUGCGUAGAGAUCUGGAGGAAUACCGGUGGCGAAGGCGGCCCCCUGGACGAAGACUGACGCUCAGGUGCGAAAGCGUGGGGAGCAAACAGGAUUAGAUACCCUGGUAGUCCACGCUGUAAACGAUGUCGAUUUGGAGGUUGUGCCCUUGAGGCGUGGCUUCCGGAGCUAACGCGUUAAAUCGACCGCCUGGGGAGUACGGCCGCAAGGUUAAAACUCAAAUGAAUUGACGGGGGCCCGCACAAGCGGUGGAGCAUGUGGUUUAAUUCGAUGCAACGCGAAGAACCUUACCUACUCUUGACAUCCAGAGAAGCCUGCAGAGAUGCGGGUGUGCCUUCGGGAGCUCUGAGACAGGUGCUGCAUGGCUGUCGUCAGCUCGUGUUGUGAAAUGUUGGGUUAAGUCCCGCAACGAGCGCAACCCUUAUCCUCUGUUGCCAGCACUUCGGGUGGGAACUCAGGGGAGACUGCCGGUGAUAAACCGGAGGAAGGUGGGGAUGACGUCAAGUCAUCAUGGCCCUU